This 406-nucleotide ribosomal RNA is filed under the name uncultured bacterium. RNAcentral describes it as "partial 16S ribosomal RNA". It matches the Rfam family "Bacterial small subunit ribosomal RNA", at positions 30 to 526 of the family's 1533-position model. The record is from RNAcentral.
AUUGAACGCUGGCGGCAGGCCUAACACAUGCAAGUCGAACGAGUGGCGGACGGGUGAGUAAUGUCUGGGAAACUGCCUGAUGGAGGGGGAUAACUACUGGAAACGGUAGCUAAUACCGCAUACCAUCGGAUGUGCCCAGAUGGGAUUAGCUAGUAGGUGGGGUAAAGGCUCACCGAGGCGACGACCCCUAUCUGUUCUGAGAGGAUGACCAGCCAACCUGGAACUGAGACACGGUCCAGACUCCUACGGGAGGCAGCAGUGGGGAAUAUUGGACAAUGGGCGAAAGCCUGAGCCAGCCAUGCCGCGUGUGUGAAGAAGGUCUUAGGAUUGUAAAGCACUUUAAGUUGGGAGGCGUUACCAACAGAAUAAGCACCGGCUAACUCCGUGCCAGCAGCCGCGGUAAUUC